Molecule: ribosomal RNA, 886 nt
Filed under: Trichoderma harzianum
Lineage: Eukaryota; Fungi; Ascomycota; Sordariomycetes; Hypocreales; Hypocreaceae
Description: LSU rRNA
Rfam family: Eukaryotic large subunit ribosomal RNA
Source: RNAcentral
AUCAAUAAGCGGAGGAAAAGAAACCAACAGGGAUUGCCCCAGUAACGGCGAGUGAAGCGGCAACAGCUCAAAUUUGAAAUCUGGCCCCUCGGGGUCCGAGUUGUAAUUUGUAGAGGAUGCUUUUGGUGAGGUGCCGCCCGAGUUCCCUGGAACGGGACGCCACAGAGGGUGAGAGCCCCGUCUGGCUGGCCGCCGAGCCUCUGUAAAGCUCCUUCGACGAGUCGAGUAGUUUGGGAAUGCUGCUCAAAAUGGGAGGUAUAUGUCUUCUAAAGCUAAAUAUUGGCCAGAGACCGAUAGCGCACAAGUAGAGUGAUCGAAAGAUGAAAAGCACCUUGAAAAGAGGGUUAAAUAGUACGUGAAAUUGUUGAAAGGGAAGCGCUUGUGACCAGACUUGGGCGCGGCGGAUCAUCCGGGGUUCUCUCCGGUGCACUUCGCCGCGUCUGGGCCAGCAUCAGUUCGUCGCGGGGGAAAAAGGCUUCGGGAACGUGGCUCCUCCGGGAGUGUUAUAGCCCGUUGCAUAAUACCCUGCGGUGGACUGAGGACCGCGCAUCUGCAAGGAUGCUGGCGUAAUGGUCACCAGCGACCCGUCUUGAAACACGGACCAAGGAGUCGUCUUCGUAUGCGAGUGUUCGGGUGUCAAACCCCUACGCGUAAUGAAAGUGAACGCAGGUGAGAGCUUCGGCGCAUCAUCGACCGAUCCUGAUGUUCUCGGAUGGAUUUGAGUAAGAGCAUACGGGGCCGGACCCGAAAGAAGGUGAACUAUGCCUGUAUAGGGUGAAGCCAGAGGAAACUCUGGUGGAGGCUCGCAGCGGUUCUGACGUGCAAAUCGAUCGUCAAAUAUGGGGAUGGGGGCGAAAGACUAAUCGAACCUUCUAGUAGCUGGUUU